This 262-nucleotide ribosomal RNA is filed under the name uncultured bacterium. Its description in RNAcentral is "partial 16S ribosomal RNA". It matches the Rfam family "Bacterial small subunit ribosomal RNA", at positions 515 to 776 of the family's 1533-position model. The record is from RNAcentral.
CCGCGGUAAUACGAAGGGUGCAAGCGUUACUCGGAAUUACUGGGCGUAAAGCGUGCGUAGGUGGUUCGUUAAGUCUGAUGUGAAAUACCUGGGCUCAACCCGGGAACUGCAGUUGAAACCGCUUGUCUUGAAUACCUGAGAGGGUGGGGGAAUACCUGGUGGAGAAGUGAAAUUCGUAGAGAUCAGGUGGAACACCGGAGGCGAAGGCGCCUGCCUGGCAGUGUAUUGACGCUGAGGUGCGAAAGUGCGGGGAGCAAACAGG